Molecule: ribosomal RNA, 238 nt
Filed under: uncultured Pseudomonadales bacterium
Lineage: Bacteria; Pseudomonadati; Pseudomonadota; Gammaproteobacteria; Pseudomonadales
Description: partial 16S ribosomal RNA
Rfam family: Bacterial small subunit ribosomal RNA
Source: RNAcentral
AUACUUAGUGGCGGACGGGUGAGUAAUGCUUAGGAAUCUGCCUAGUAGUGGGGGAUAACUUGGGGAAACCCAAGCUAAUACCGCAUACGACCUACGGGUGAAAGGGGGCUUUUAGCUCUCGCUAUUAGAUGAGCCUAAGUCGGAUUAGCUGGUUGGUGGGGUAAAGGCCUACCAAGGCGACGAUCUGUAGCUGGUCUGAGAGGAUGAUCAGCCACACUGGGGCUGAGACACGGCCCAG